This 468-nucleotide ribosomal RNA is filed under the name uncultured bacterium. Its description in RNAcentral is "partial 16S ribosomal RNA". It matches the Rfam family "Bacterial small subunit ribosomal RNA", at positions 28 to 507 of the family's 1533-position model. The record is from RNAcentral.
GACGAACGCUGGCGGCGUGCUUAACACAUGCAAGUCGAACGGAAAGGCCCUGCUUUUGUGGGGUGCUCGAGUGGCGAACGGGUGAGUAACACGUGAGUAACCUGCCCUUGACUUUGGGAUAACUUCAGGAAACUGGGGCUAAUACCGGAUAGGAGCUCCUGCUGCAUGGUGGGGGUUGGAAAGUUUCGGCGGUUGGGGAUGGACUCGCGGCUUAUCAGCUUGUUGGUGGGGUAGUGGCUUACCAAGGCUUUGACGGGCAGCCGGCCUGAGAGGGUGACCGACCACAUUGGGACUGAGAUACGGCCCAGACUCCUACGGGAGGCAGCAGUGGGGAAUAUUGCACAAUGGGCGGAAGCCUGAUGCAGCAACGCCGCGUGCGGGAUGACGGCCUUCGGGUUGUAAACCGCUUUCGCCUGUGACGAAGCGUGAGUGACGGUAAUGGGUAAAGAAGCACCGGCUAACUACGUG